GGAAGUACAGUAAUGUAUGGAGCUGACUGCUACUAAUCGGUCGAGGGCAUGACCAAA
This 57-nucleotide ribosomal RNA is filed under the name Mordavella massiliensis. RNAcentral's name for it is "partial 23S ribosomal RNA". The record is from RNAcentral. Lineage: Bacteria; Bacillati; Bacillota; Clostridia; Eubacteriales; Clostridiaceae.